This 810-nucleotide ribosomal RNA is filed under the name uncultured Bacteroidota bacterium. RNAcentral's name for it is "bacterial SSU rRNA". It matches the Rfam family "Bacterial small subunit ribosomal RNA", at positions 58 to 845 of the family's 1533-position model. Lineage: Bacteria; Pseudomonadati; Bacteroidota. The record is from RNAcentral.
CAAGUCGAACGCGAAAGGCCCCUUCGGGGGCCGAGUAGAGUGGCGUCCGGGUGAGUAACACGUAGGUAAUCUACCUCCGGGUGGGGAAUAACGACCGGAAACGGUCGCUAAUACCGCAUAAUGCAGCGGCACCACAUGGUGACAGUUGUUAAAGCGGGGGAUCGCAAGACCUCGCGCCUGAAGAGGAGCCUGCGGCGGAUUAGCUAGUUGGCAGGGUAACGGCCUACCAAGGCGACGAUCCGUAGCCGGCCUGAGAGGGCGGUCGGCCACACUGGCACUGACACACGGGCCAGACUCCUACGGGAGGCAGCAGUCGGGAAUUUUGGGCAAUGGGCGCAAGCCUGACCCAGCAACGCCGCGUGAAGGAUGAAGCUUUUCGGAGUGUAAACUUCAUAAGAAUGGGACGAAUAAAAGAGGGCUAACACCCCUUUUGAUGACGGUACCAUUUGUAAGCUCCGGCUAACUCCGUGCCAGCAGCCGCGGUAAUACGGGGGGAGCAAGCGUUGUUCGGAUUUACUGGGCGUAAAGGGCGCGUAGGCGGCGCAACAAGUCGCUUGUGAAAUCUCCGGGCUUAACUCGGAGCGGCCAAGCGAUACUGUCGUGCUAGAGUGCGGAAGGGGCUACUGGAAUUCUCGGUGUAGCGGUGAAAUGCGUAGAUAUCGAGAGGAACACCUGCGGCGAAGGCGGGUAGCUGGGCCGACACUGACGCUGAUGCGCGAAAGCCAGGGGAGCGAACGGGAUUAGAUACCCCGGUAGUCCUGGCCUUAAACGAUGGAUGCUUGGUGUCCGGGGUUACAUAGUCCCCGGGUG